UUUACAAGAUGUUAGAACAGCAAGCCGCUCUUUCACAGAUCUUUAGAAGAGCUUUAAAAGAUGCCGAGCCGCUCUUUUCCAGAUGUUUAGAAGAGCUUUAAAAGAUGCCGAGCCGCUCUUUCCCAGAUCUUUAGAAGAGCUUAAAAAGACGGUCAUGAUUCUACAUAACAACAUCCGCUUGACCUCGCAAUGCCAAGAAGAAGAAAGGCGUGGAACAUUUGCUUAAGCCUGUCAAGAUCUUCAGCAGAUGUUUGAGCAAAAAGUCAUCAUCCUCUUCGUCACUCUUCAUCCGUAUUUGGGGUAACAAGCACCUGCUUCCCACAAGAGACUGGACAGCUGAUGUCAGACCUGCACCUUCCUUGAACAUGUUGGUAUCUUACUCUGUAUUUGUUCACGGUGGUCACCCCAGGGUCUCAGGACUCAAAUUGAGUGCUCUAUGGAUUAAACAGAAAAUGCAGUAUAAACAAGUGUUAUGUUGUCUUCAACAUGUUGGUAACUUACUCUGUAUUUGUUCACGGUGGUCACCCCAGGGUCUCAGGACUCAAAACGAGUGCUCUAUGGAUUGAACAUAAAAUGUAGUAUAAACAAGUGUUAUGUUUUUAAAUGCCACUAAUAAUGUGUUUCUGUUUUCUUUCUCAUUAUGCUAACAAACACUCUUUUACCCCUCAUGUUAGGUAGAUCAACACUCCAACCAUCUGCAUUAGGGACUGAAUAAAGGAUGCCCUCUGUAGCUGGGAAUGUUAGAUCAGGCGGAUCAACAUUCCAUCCAUCUGCAUUAGGAUCUACCUUAGAGACACUCACUGGAGCUGUAAAUGGGAAGCAGGUCACUUACUUUGCAUUCGUCCUUGGUGGUCACCCAAGGGUCUCUAGAGUGAAAAUUACUCAAUCUAUGGAUUAAACAGAAAAUUUAGUUGUAUGAAGUGCAAUUUGGGACAUUCUUCCAGUUGUCGGCAACUUUGUGAAAAAGGCUGGAAACUUAAAUGCAGAAUUCUGGCCUGGUGUUUGGUCUGUGCUGUCUUUGGCUCUUGCAUCUCCAUCAUCCUGACCCUCUUUAGCAGCCUGUCCAUGUAUUUAUUUGGAGGCCACCAUGAGCACCCAUCUGCAUAAUAUGACUUUGUUAC
Paramisgurnus dabryanus is the source of this 1121-nucleotide long non-coding RNA. RefSeq lists it as uncharacterized. Lineage: Eukaryota; Metazoa; Chordata; Actinopteri; Cypriniformes; Cobitidae. The record is from RefSeq and is a predicted model, not a curated record.